UAGCCCAAGAAAUUGGAUAAUCCUUCUAAGUAUUUGAAAGGCAUCAUUUAAAAUUAAAUCCAAACGGUAAAAGUGAGCAUGUUCCCAUUAGCUAGUGGUAAGGAACGGCUUACCAAGGCUACGAUGGGUAGGGUCCUGAGAGGGAGUCCCCCACACUGGUACUGAGACACGGACCAGAUUCCUACGGGAGGCAGCAGUGAGGAAUAUUGGACAAUGGGCGCAAGCCUGAUCCAGCCAUGCCGCGUGCAGGAUGACGGUCCUAUGGAUUGUAAACUGCUUUUAUACGAGAAGAAACACUGCUUCGUGAAGCAGCUUGACGGUAUCGUAAGAAUAAGGAUCGGCUAACUCCGUGCCAGCAGCCGCGGUAAUACGGAGGAUCCAAGCGUUAUCCGGAAUCAUUGGGUUUAAAGGGUCCGUAGGCGGUUUAAUAAGUCAGUGGUGAAAGCCCAUCGCUCAACGGUGGAACGGCCAUUGAUACUGUUAAACUUGAAUUAUUAGGAAGUAACUAGAAUAUGUAGUGUAGCGGUGAAAUGCUUAGAGAUUACAUGGAAUACCAAUUGCGAAGGCAGGUUACUACUAAUGGAUUGACGCUGAUGGACGAAAGCGUGGGUAGCGAACAGGAUUAGAUACCCUGGUAGUCCACGCCGUAAACGAUGGAUACUAGCUGUUGGAAGCAAUUUCAGUGGCUAAGCGAAAGUGAUAAGUAUCCCACCUGGGGAGUACGUUCGCAAGAAUGAAACUCAAAGGAAUUGACGGGGGCCCGCACAAGCGGUGGAGCAUGUGGUUUAAUUCGAUGAUACGCGAGGAACCUUACCAAGGCUUAAAUGUAGUUUGACCGAUUUGGAAACAGAUCUUUCGCAAGACAAAUUACAAGGUGCUGCAUGGUUGUCGUCAGCUCGUGCCGUGAGGUGUCAGGUUAAGUCCUAUAACGAGCGCAACCCCUGUUGUUAGUUGCCAGCGAGUCAUGUCGGGAACUCUAACAAGACUGCCAGUGCAAACUGUGAGGAAGGUGGGGAUGACGUCAAAUCAUCACGGCCCUUACGCCUUGGGCUACACACGUGCUACAAUGGCCGGUACAGAGAGCAGCCACUGGGCGACCAGGAGCGAAUCUAUAAAACCGGUCACAGUUCGGAUCGGAGUCUGCAACUCG
This 1150-nucleotide ribosomal RNA is filed under the name Flavobacterium sp. 4cultural_51. Its description in RNAcentral is "bacterial SSU rRNA". It matches the Rfam family "Bacterial small subunit ribosomal RNA", at positions 144 to 1314 of the family's 1533-position model. The record is from RNAcentral. Lineage: Bacteria; Pseudomonadati; Bacteroidota; Flavobacteriia; Flavobacteriales; Flavobacteriaceae.